UGGGGAAUCUUGCACAAUGGGGGCAACCCUGAUGCAGCGACGCCGCGUGAGCGAUGAAGCCCUUCGGGGCGUAAAGCUCUUUCGACCGGAACGAUAAUGACGGUACCGGGAGAAGAAGCUGCGGCUAACUACGUGCCAGCAGCCGCGGUAAUACGUAGGCAGCAAGCGUUGUUCGGAGUUACUGGGCGUAAAGAGUGCGUAGGCGGUUUUCUAAGUUCGGUGUGAAAUCUCCCGGCUUAACUGGGAGGGUGCGCCGAAGACUGGGAAGCUGGAGUGUGGGAGAGGCAGGCGGAAUUCCUGGUGUAGCGGGGAAAUGCGUAGAUAUCAGGAGGAACACCGGCGGUGUAGACGGCUUGCUAGACCAUAACUGACGCUGAGGCACGAAAGCGUGGGUAGCAAACA
RNAcentral lists this ribosomal RNA (402 nucleotides) under uncultured bacterium. RNAcentral describes it as "bacterial SSU rRNA". It matches the Rfam family "Bacterial small subunit ribosomal RNA", at positions 355 to 774 of the family's 1533-position model. The record is from RNAcentral.